UUGAACGCUGGCGGCAGGCCUAACACCUUCCAGUCGAGCGGAUGAAGGGAGCUUGCUCCUGGAUUCAGCGGCGGACGGGUGAGUAAUGCCUAGGAAUCUGCCUGGUAGUGGGGGAUAACGUCCGGAAACGGGCGCUAAUACCGCAUACGUCCUGAGGGAGAAAGUGGGGGAUCUUCGGACCUCACGCUAUCAGAUGAGCCUAGGUCGGAUUAGCUAGUUGGUGGGGUAAAGGCCUACCAAGGCGACGAUCCGUAACUGGUCUGAGAGGAUGAUCAGUCACACGGGAACUGAGACACGGUCCAGACUCCUACGGGAGGCAGCAGUGGGGAAUAUUGGACAAUGGGCGAAAGCCUGAUCCAGCCAUGCCGCGUGUGUGAAGAAGGUCUUCGGAUUGUAAAGCACUUUAAGUGGGGAGGAAGGGCAGUAAGUUAAUACCUUGCUGUUUUGACGGUACCAACAGAAUAAGCACCGGCUAACUUCGUG
This 483-nucleotide ribosomal RNA is filed under the name uncultured bacterium. Its description in RNAcentral is "partial 16S ribosomal RNA". It matches the Rfam family "Bacterial small subunit ribosomal RNA", at positions 30 to 507 of the family's 1533-position model. The record is from RNAcentral.